RNAcentral lists this ribosomal RNA (467 nucleotides) under uncultured bacterium. RNAcentral describes it as "bacterial SSU rRNA". It matches the Rfam family "Bacterial small subunit ribosomal RNA", at positions 329 to 795 of the family's 1533-position model. The record is from RNAcentral.
CCCCAGACUCCUAGGGAGGCAGCAGUGAGGAAUAUUGGUCAAUGGGCGGAAGCCUGAACCAGCCAAGUCGCGUGAGGGAUUAAGGCCCUGCGGGUCGUAAACCUCUUUUGCCGGGGAGCAGUGGUCCGGACGCGUCCGGACCGGGAGAGUACCCGGAGAAAAAGCAUCGGCUAACUCCGUGCCAGCAGCCGCGGUAAUACGGAGGAUGCGAGCGUUAUCCGGAUUUAUUGGGUUUAAAGGGUGCGUAGGCGGGCAUUUAAGCCGGCGGUCAAAUGUCGGGGCUCAACCCCGCCCAGCCGUCGGAACUGCCGGGCUAGAGUGGGCGAGAAGUGCGCGGAAUGCGUGGUGUAGCGGUGAAAUGCAUAGAUAUCGCGCAGAACUCCGAUUGCGAAGGCAGCAUGCCGGCUCCACACUGACGCUGAGGCACGAAAGCGUGGGUAUCGAACAGGAUUAGAUACCCCGGUAUC